This 492-nucleotide ribosomal RNA is filed under the name uncultured bacterium. Its description in RNAcentral is "partial 16S ribosomal RNA". It matches the Rfam family "Bacterial small subunit ribosomal RNA", at positions 29 to 507 of the family's 1533-position model. The record is from RNAcentral.
AGUGAACGCUGGCGGUAGGCCUAACACAUGCGAGUCGAACGGCAGCACAGUAAGAGCUUGCUCUUACGGGUGGCGAGUGGCGGACGGGUGAGGAAUACAUCGGAAUCUACUUUUUCGUGGGGGAUAACGUAGGGAAACUUACGCCAAUACCGCAUACGACCUACGGGUGAAAGCAGGGGAUCUUCGGACCUUGCGCGAUUGAAUGAGCCGAUGUCGGAUUAGCUAGUUGGCGGGGUCAAGGCCCACCAAGGCGACGAUCCGUAGCUGGUCUGAGAGGAUGAUCAGCCACACUGGAACUGAGACACGGUACAGACUCCUACGGGAGGCAGCAGUGGGGAAUAUUGGACAAUGGGCGCAAGCCUGAUCCAGCCAUACCGCGUGGGUGAAGAAGGCCUUCGGGUUGUAAAGCCCUUUUGUUGGGAAAGAAAAGCAGCAGGUUAAUACCCCGCUGUUCUGACGGUACCCAAAGAAUAAGCACCGGCUAACUUCGUG